This is a long non-coding RNA of Sinocyclocheilus anshuiensis, 344 nucleotides long. RefSeq lists it as uncharacterized. The record is from RefSeq and is a predicted model, not a curated record. Lineage: Eukaryota; Metazoa; Chordata; Actinopteri; Cypriniformes; Cyprinidae. The transcript is spliced from 3 exons.
UUGAGGGUGUGCAUAUAUACGAGACUGAAUAGUGAAGUCGUGCUCGAUUUUCUUUUACAUUACUUCCUAAUGGUGUAUGUGUGAUAUGUGAGUCCCACUUUAUUAGUUUGCAACACUCUGCUGGAGGGGCCACCAACAGCUCAGGUGUGUCACGUCUAUUUGUCAUAUUCCAUGGAAGGAGGAAAAGUCAAGAGUGUGUCUGCGCAUGAGACCAGCCAGAAUGCAAAAGUGAUCAUUGACAUGGCAUCCCCACAAGGACUGUAGAUGGAGGCUUCCUAUUGUGAAAUGCCAGAGAGCCUCCUAUCAUGGAAAUGGACCUCUUCUCAGCUUUCCCGUUCAAAGCU